Molecule: ribosomal RNA, 69 nt
Filed under: uncultured bacterium
Lineage: Bacteria
Description: partial 16S ribosomal RNA
Source: RNAcentral
AACGCUGGCGGCGAUGCCUAACACAUGCAAGUCGAGCGAGAAAGCCCUGCAACGGGUGAGUAAAUGCGG